This 290-nucleotide long non-coding RNA is filed under the name Brachypodium distachyon (stiff brome). Its description in RNAcentral is "long non-coding RNA (BDIS_LNC000142)". The record is from RNAcentral. Lineage: Eukaryota; Viridiplantae; Streptophyta; Magnoliopsida; Poales; Poaceae.
AAUAUACAUCAGAACAUAGGAAUGAUGGCACUUCAAGUACAGUUGCUAGGUGAAACGAAAACCAGAGGCAUGCCUGCAUUCUUUGGUGCUCCGAGGAAAGCAUUCUUCAAAUGAUGGGAGUGGCAGGAAUUCUGGAGCAGUAGGAUCAACUGUUUGUUUCUUUUGCCUGGGUUUUGCUGGCUCUUGUAUUGACUGAUCAGCCAGUGAAACUGCCUUAGGCCUUGAAGAAUUGAAGCCAGCAUUCCUGUCCUGCACAUCUUGAGGACGUGAAAUACCACCAAAACAAGGCA